UAAAAACAUAGGACUCUGCGAACUCGUAAGAGGACGUAUAGGGUCUGACGCCUGCCCGGUGCCGGAAGGUUAAGAGGAGAGGUUAGCUGUUGC
This 93-nucleotide ribosomal RNA is filed under the name Moorena sp. SIO2B7. RNAcentral describes it as "partial 23S ribosomal RNA". It matches the Rfam family "Bacterial large subunit ribosomal RNA", at positions 1808 to 1900 of the family's 2925-position model. Lineage: Bacteria; Bacillati; Cyanobacteriota; Cyanophyceae; Coleofasciculales; Coleofasciculaceae. The record is from RNAcentral.